Molecule: long non-coding RNA, 1737 nt
Organism: Homo sapiens (human)
Lineage: Eukaryota; Metazoa; Chordata; Mammalia; Primates; Hominidae
Gene: GMDS-DT
Product: GMDS divergent transcript
Source: Ensembl
GCCGCCACCGCCUCAGGGAAGAGGAAGGAGGCCGCGGCUUCGCGUCCCGCCUCUCGCCUGGCUGGCCGUGGGGGGCCUGGACGCAGUGGCCUCCCGAAUCUCCCAGGACCCUAAUAUCGCCCGAGGAUGCUGGGAGGAACGCUGAGCCGACCUCUCCGUUAGGCUGAAGAUUGCACAAACCAUGCUAAUGGCCAGCAUGGAUGGAGGGAGCGUGUGAGAUGUGUGGGGCAGCGUGCUGCAUCUCAGCCAACUCCAGGAGGAAGCAUGCUCAUGGCAAUACCCGGAGUCUCCACUGCAAGACCAGAGUGACGGAGGCAGCAGAGCUCCUCAGCAGGCCAGGAGUCUCCAGAGGCACUGCCGAAUGUCUAAGAAGCAACCUCAUUGUAUUCCCAAGACCUGGGAAUCCAGGUCUCGCAGAUACGAUGAUACAAUCUAUAGCCAGGACAUCUCUUCAUGUGUAGUUUUCAAUGAAUACUAGGAUAAGCAACUAUCCCAGUCUUCCCAGGAUUGAGGGGCUUCUCCAGAUGCUGCACUUCUGGUGCUAAAAAUGAGAAACUGAAAUGAAUUAGUCACCCAAGGAAUGCUGACCCUGUGCUAUAUGAUCACAUUUACUCUUUAAAGCAAUGCUUUGAGACAUGAAAGCCAGAUAGGGAAGAAUUUGCAGCCUCAUACUGAUUGGCCAGUUGAGGAGUCAACUCAUCUCUCUUAUAGAAAAAAGAAGAUUACAUUUACGGAAUACAGAAUAUACUGUGCUCUCUACUUACCAAGAGAUUUCUUUCUCUACUGACAACUUUCUGUUGACGUGGUUACUGUGCAGGUUCUGACAGUCGAUUCUUUCCACCUAGUUCACUGCUGAAGCUAUAAUGAUUUCCAUUUUGCAAAAAGAGGAUGAUUACUUAUUAUCUGUGACCAUUUCUCAAUUCCAGAACAAUUGAGCUGCAUAGUCCCUGCAAUCUUAUAAAGGCAUUUGGCCUGGAAGAUGCUCUGCAGCCAUGUGCCAAGAAUAACGGCUAUAGGGACAAUGUUUCAUUAACCCCAAAGCAGCAACCUGAACCUCUUACUGUACAAUAUCUGCUCCGUUCAGAAUUAGCUCGACUUGAGUCACAGGAUGAAGCUUACCAAAAGGAAUUUCCACGUCCAAGGAAGGAACCAAGAUCACUGAGAGGUUAUAGUAUGAAAAGUGAAGAGAAAAAACCUAUUCUAAACAUUUUAUUAAUUGUCAAUAAUUAUUUUAAAAUAUUUAAUAUAGUCUCCUACCUGGUCCACUGGCAUCAAGCUGCCAAAUUUACACGGUCACUUUGGGAAGCCAGCUGGCAGGCAAACAUGGAAAGUGCUGGCUCCUAGCGUAGUGAGAAGACCACAGAUAGAUGGUAAUUUUCUUCUUUGUUUUAUUUUUCUUUUUCUUCUCUCCCUCUUUUUCUUCCCUCUUGCCUUUCCCUCCCAUUGCCCACUUUCUUUUUUUGGCUGCCGAAGAUUUAUUGCCUUUCAGUACUUAUAGAUGAUGUUUUCAUAAGUUCUAAUGAGGUCCCAGCAGUUUUUAACAAUAACAGGACAUUACUGUUCCUAAGAUAUAUUAUGUGUUUUCCCUCAUCUUUCUCCCUUGAAUGAAAUGCUUAGAAGUAGGCUAACCCCCAAUUCCCUUCCCUUUACUAUGAUAAAUGGCUCCAUUACUUAAUAGGGCUAAAUACUCUGCUGUGACUUUUAUACUGCUGAUUUGAAUAAAAUCUUACGAAAAGC